Molecule: ribosomal RNA, 467 nt
Filed under: uncultured bacterium
Lineage: Bacteria
Description: bacterial SSU rRNA
Rfam family: Bacterial small subunit ribosomal RNA
Source: RNAcentral
GAUAAACGCUGGCGGCAUGCUUUACACAUGCAAGUCGAACGAUCGUCGUGUUAAUUGAAGCUUCGGCUGAUUUUAAUGCAAUGGCGAUAGUGGCAAACGGGUGAGUAACGCGUAGAAAUUUUCUCUUAGUGGGGGAUAGCUAGUCGAAAGAUUAGGUAAUACCCCAUGUGAACGCAAGUUUAAAGGAUUUAUUCGCUAAGAGUGAAGUCUGCGUCCCAUCAGCUAGUUGGUAAGGUAAAAGCUUACCAAGGCUAAGACGGGUAGCUGGUCUGAGAGGAUGAUCAGCCACACUGGGACUGCGACACGGCCCAGACACCUACGGGUGGCAGCAGUGGGGAAUUUUCGGCAAUGGGCGAAAGCCUGACCGAGCAAUGCCGCGUGCAGGAUGACGGCCCUAUGGGUUGUAAACUGCUGUGGAGUAUAUCUAAAAAAAUGAAGAGUACUCUAGAAAGAGGUUGCUAACUCUG